UACGGAGGGUGCAAGCGUUACUCGGAUUUACUGGGCGUAAAGCGCAUGUAGGCGGUUGGAUAAGUUUGGUGUGAAAGCCCGAAGCUCAACUUCGGAAGUGCAUUGAAUACUGUCUGACUAGAAUUCAGGAGAGGAGAGUGGAAUUCCUGGUGUAGAGGUGAAAUUCGUAGAUAUCAGGAGGAACACCAGUGGCGAAGGCGGCUCUCUGGACUGACAUUGACGCUGAGAUGCGAAAGCGUGGGUAGCAAACAGG
Molecule: ribosomal RNA, 253 nt
Filed under: uncultured bacterium
Lineage: Bacteria
Description: partial 16S ribosomal RNA
Rfam family: Bacterial small subunit ribosomal RNA
Source: RNAcentral